ACGCCGCGUGAGUGAAGAAGGUUUUCGGAUCGUAAAACUCUGUUGUAAGGGAAGAACACGUACGAGAGUAACUACUCGUACCUUGACGGUACCUUAUUAGAAAGCCACGGCUAACUACGUGCCAGCAGCCGCGGUAAUACGUAGGUGGCAAGCGUUGUCCGGAAUUAUUGGGCGUAAAGCGCGCGCAGGCGGUUCUUUAAGUCCGAUGUGAAAGCCCACGGCUCAACCGUGGAGGGUCAUUGGAAACUGGGGAACUUGAGUACA
Molecule: ribosomal RNA, 264 nt
Filed under: uncultured bacterium
Lineage: Bacteria
Description: partial 16S ribosomal RNA
Rfam family: Bacterial small subunit ribosomal RNA
Source: RNAcentral